Molecule: ribosomal RNA, 468 nt
Filed under: uncultured bacterium
Lineage: Bacteria
Description: partial 16S ribosomal RNA
Rfam family: Bacterial small subunit ribosomal RNA
Source: RNAcentral
GACGAACGCUGGCGGCGUGCUUAACACAUGCAAGUCGAACGGAAAGGCCCUGCGUUUGUGGGGUGCUCGAGUGGCGAACGGGGGAGUAACACGUGAGUAACCUGCCCUUGACUUUGGGAUAACUUCAGGAAACUGGGGCUAAUACCGGAUAGGAGCUCCUGCAGCGUGGUGGGGGUUGGAAAGUUUCGGCGGUUGGGGAUGGACUGGCGGCUUAUCAGCUUGUUGGUGGGGUAGGGGCAUACCAAGGCUUUGACGGGUAGCCGGCCUUGGAGGGUGGCCGGCCACAAUGGGACUGAGAUACGGACCAGACUCCUACGGGAGGCAGCAGUCGGGAACAUUGCACAGUGGGCGGAAGCCUGAGGCAGCAGCGCCGCGUGCGUGAUGACGGCCUUCGGGUUGUAAACCGCUUUCGCCUGUGACGAAGCGUGAGUGACGGUAAUGGGUAAAGAAGCACCGGCUAACUACGUG